Molecule: ribosomal RNA, 206 nt
Filed under: uncultured bacterium
Lineage: Bacteria
Description: partial 16S ribosomal RNA
Rfam family: Bacterial small subunit ribosomal RNA
Source: RNAcentral
UGCGUAGGUGGCAGAUCAAGUCUGGAGUAAAAGGUAUGGGCUCAACCCGUACUGGCUCUGGAAACUGAUCAGCUAGAGAACAGAAGAGGACGGCGGAACUCCAUGUGUAGCGGUAAAAUGCGUAGAUAUAUGGAAGAACACCGGUGGCGAAGGCGGCCGUCUGGUCUGGAUUCUGACACUGAAGCACGAAAGCGUGGGAGCAAAUA